Molecule: non-coding RNA, 257 nt
Organism: Chiloscyllium plagiosum (whitespotted bambooshark)
Lineage: Eukaryota; Metazoa; Chordata; Chondrichthyes; Orectolobiformes; Hemiscylliidae
Source: RefSeq, a predicted model, not a curated record
UCAGGGCUAUUGCCUGUUGUAUAAAAACAGGAGUUCAUGUCGUUUCGAUAGUCAGAAAACAGCGAUGGCUCUCUUUGAGCUCCUCCUCCUUUUCUGUUUAUCUCCAGUUUGGGCCACAAUGUCAUGUCACCUGUGUGAGAACAUCUCCCUUAAGCUCCAGUCGCAAUGGAAGGAAAGUGUAGACAUGGAAACACUGCUGCAGGAAGUCUGCAACUCGCUGCCUCAUGAGUCCAAUUUGGUGUGCAGGAACUUUAUCA